UACGGAGGGUGCGAGCGUUGUCCGGAAUCACUGGGCGUAAAGGGCGCGUAGGUGGCGCGGGCAGUCAACGGUGAAAGUUCGGGGCUCAACCCUGAAUCGGCCGUCGAUACUCCCGUGCUUGAGCACUGUAGAGGCAGAUGGAAUUCCGGGUGUAGCGGUGGAAUGCGUAGAGAUCCGGAAGAACACCGGUGGCGAAGGCGGUCUGCUGGGCAGUAGCUGACACUGAGGCGCGACAGCGUGGGGGGCAAACAGG
RNAcentral lists this ribosomal RNA (253 nucleotides) under uncultured bacterium. RNAcentral describes it as "partial 16S ribosomal RNA". It matches the Rfam family "Bacterial small subunit ribosomal RNA", at positions 524 to 776 of the family's 1533-position model. The record is from RNAcentral.